Patella vulgata (common limpet) is the source of this 436-nucleotide long non-coding RNA. RefSeq lists it as uncharacterized. The record is from RefSeq and is a predicted model, not a curated record. The transcript has 2 exons. NCBI's taxonomy places the organism in Eukaryota, Metazoa, Mollusca, Gastropoda, Patellidae.
CGGUGAUCUCAUUUCAUGAACAGGGGAAUCUUUUUUGUGUCUUUCGGAUAAAUUGAUAUUCCAGCACCAGCUUAACACAUAAUGAAAUGAAGAUGUUGGAUGUAUUGGAGAGUGAUAUAGCCGCAGUAUUAAAUACAAAGGAAUAUUUAUUGCUUUUGAUUCCGUGUUUUCGUCAAUAGCAAAAGCGGGAGGUGUAAUGGCUGCGGUAUUAAAAUUAUUGGCAACAUAUUAUAUGUUUGAUUUAGAGUAUCCCAUACCCUUUUCGAUGGUACUGGGGAUAAUGCAAACCUUUGUAAUGGAGGAGCCGUACAAAAAGGAAACCAGUAAAAAAUAUAAAACAUUUAUAAAAUCACUGAGAAGUAUAUAUAACAAAUACCCAAAUUAUCAAGAGUAACAUGUAUACAUGUAUAUGUAUUAUUAAAUACAUUUAUCUAUA